This is a long non-coding RNA of Carassius gibelio (silver crucian carp), 419 nucleotides long. RefSeq lists it as uncharacterized. The transcript has 3 exons. The record is from RefSeq and is a predicted model, not a curated record. NCBI's taxonomy places the organism in Eukaryota, Metazoa, Chordata, Actinopteri, Cypriniformes, Cyprinidae.
GUUCUCCUGAAAUUGUCUGAAGCAUAUUGGUUCCAGAUUUUUCCUGAAACAGGCCUUCGGUCGGUACACACCACCUCCACCACUCCAACACCCCCCACCUCCUUUUUUUUCCCCUCAGCACAGCCCAAGACAGACAAUAGACUGACCUCCGCUCACCUCUCUCACCAGAGCUCCGGGUCACCUCCACACAUCUGGGAGCCAUUUCCUCCCCAAAGGACUCACUUCCUGUGGGCAGUCGCUUAGCAUGGAGGUGUUUCUACAAGAGGUCAUGGUGGGAUCAUAGGAAAAGGUGAGCAGAUGUUCUCGCUUCCACUGAAGCUCAAGAUGCUCGCUGGAUCAUUAUCAAAUCAUGAUUGUCAAGUUUUGUUCAUGUCAACUUAAAACCAGCUUACAGCAGAGGAGACACAAACCAAAUACUC